This 72-nucleotide transfer RNA is filed under the name Chelonia mydas (Green sea turtle). It matches the Rfam family "tRNA". From Rfam's summary of the family: Transfer RNA (tRNA) molecules are approximately 80 nucleotides in length. Lineage: Eukaryota; Metazoa; Chordata; Testudines; Cheloniidae. The record is from Rfam by way of RNAcentral.
UCCCAGGUGGUCUAGUGGUUAGGAUUCGGUGCUUUCACUGCCGUAGCCCAGGUUCGAUUCCUGGUCAGAGAA